Long non-coding RNA from Aedes albopictus (Asian tiger mosquito), 6849 nucleotides. RefSeq lists it as uncharacterized. NCBI's taxonomy places the organism in Eukaryota, Metazoa, Arthropoda, Insecta, Diptera, Culicidae. The record is from RefSeq and is a predicted model, not a curated record. The transcript is spliced from 2 exons.
UGCAAUUGAAAGAUAUGAUGGAUACAUAUCAACACAUAGUUUCUCUUAAAACCCUAAAAACCAAUAGACCCACAAAACUAUUGUUUUCUCAAACUGCAAUAUUGAAAUUCUAAAUUAUCAUUGAUAUUUUCCGUGAGAUACCCGAGCAGGGAAUGACAACUAAUUGAAAACAAAUGGAGUUAUUUAGAUAUCACGAAUAUUGAUAACAAAAUGAGUUUUCAUUUUGUAUGACUUAGGUGUUAACAUAACAAAAAUGAUAACAAAAUAAUGUACUGGAAUAUCUAAUUGAAAACAGAAUGAGUUUUCAUUGAUAACAAAUUGAUAUCUUAUUUUGUUAUCCGCAUUUUACGGCUUUAUAUCAUACGCAGUUCUCAGGGAGUAAUUAAAUCCAUAGGGUAAUAACUAAAAAAUAAUAACAAAUUUAGUAUACAUUUUGAUAUUUCAUUAGGCAUUAAUUUACAUGAAUAAGUAAAUAUCUAAAUUAGAUUUUAUUUUAAAUUCGUAAGGAUCUUGUGAUUGAAAACGUGUUUUGUUUGAUACGAUAUCAUCAGGAUAUGGCACUCGGGACGAUCUACUUUUGGCAGAAAUGCAAUAUCUUCUUUGUUUUUAAACAUUUUAAACAUUUUUUUUAUAGUCAAGGGGAAUAGUUGUACCCUUUGCACCCUCCCCCCUUUUGCUGGUAGCCGAAAAUACGUGGAUUUUUUGUAUUUUUCAUAAAUUCUACAUGUUUUUACUCAAAUUUCAUCUUUUUGCUAAUCAUCAAUAGUUUUCACUGAUCCUUGACAUGCAAUGUAUUACUACCCAUCAUAGUCUGUUGAAGAUUUGAUCCCAGAGCCGUUCUAAGACCUCCAAAGUACUUCGAAGUUUGUGUCACAAGUCCAACAUCCUAUACCAAAUUUUAUACACGAUGAAACCUCACAGAACUCCUAGAAUAUUCAUGGUAAAUGAAUUGGAUGAUCUAGGUCAUCCAAAUUAUUCUGAAAUUCGCUUUCUUAAGAUCUACAACAUCUACCAUCAUUUGUGUUCACUCUGUUCAUGAAUUUUAGUCACGUUAAUGUCCAUUAGACCUCGCAAUGCUACGAGCAACUCGAUAUUGUGGUAGUUUGACAUUCUGUGAAAUACAAAUGGCCUCCAAAACACUUUGAAGUUUGGGUUACGAUAUCUACAUACUGUAUCAUGCUUUAAUGGCACACAUUUCCCAAAUGGAGGAGAACGUCCCUCUGGAGCCGACCUACUGAUGCUUUAAUUGUGAAAAAAUAUUCUUGGGAUGUAGCCUAUACUGCUGGUGGAGCCUCAGUGCACAACUAUAACGCUUUUGGUACAUUCAUGGGGUAUUCCAGGCUUUCCAAACUAUUUGGAAUUAGGAUCUUUAAGUUCUACAGGCUCUACACUUGUUUCUGUUCACUCUAUCGGCAUAAUUCUUUCACGAUUGUGCCUGUUGCACCUCAUAAUAUUGCGAGUAUCUCUAUGUGUUGCUAUUUGAGUGUCCACGGGUAUUCAAACAGACCCAAUGUAUUUUGAAGUAUGGGUCGCAAUAUCUGUAAAUCUUAUGAUAUUUUUAUUGUAGCGAAUGUUCGCCGAAUAUAAUCUUCGCUACUCUUAGAGCCAAAAAGUGCAAUUCUGAUAACUUAGCAACAUUCACUUGGUGAUCUAGGUCAUCCAAAUUAUUCUGGAAUUAAGACCUUCAAGCUUCAUAAGCUCUACUGAAUCUCUUUACUUUAUCGGUGUAGCUCCUCCAAAAAAUCCUUCAGAAAUUCUUCCAAGACUUUCGCCAAGAAUUCCUCAAAUAAUCUUCCCAGGUAUUCCUCCAAGAAAUCCUGGAAGAAUUCUUUUAGGAUUUUUUCAAGAAAUUCCUCGAAAAUUCUUCCAGAAGCUCCUCCAAGUAUUCUACCAGAAAUUCGAACAAUAAUCCCUCCAGGAAUUUCUCCAAGAAUUCCUUCAAGAAUGCCACCAGGAAUUUCUUCAAGAAUUUCUCCAGAUAUCACUCCAAAAAUUCUGCCAAAAAUUCCUCAAAGAAUCCCUCUAUGAAUUCCUCUAACAAUUUCUCCAGAAAUUUCUCAUAGACUUCUGCAUAGAAAUUGUCAUUCCUCCAGAAAUUCCUCCAAGAGUUUCACCAGGAAUUCCUCUAUGAUUUUUUUCCAAGAAGCUCUCAAGGAAUUUCUCUAGAAAAUCCUCAAAGAAUUUCUCCCGAAACCUCUGGGUAAUCGUCCAAAGAUUACUCCAGGGGUUCGUCCGAGAUUAUUUUCAGGCGUUUCUAGAUUUUUUUCCAGGAAUUCGUGAAUACAUUUUUCAAGGAAUUCCAACAGAAAUUACUUCAGGAAAUCCCCCAGGAACUUCAUCAGGAAUUCUUCGUCGAGUUCUUCCAGGGAUUUUUUUUUGAAAAGUUUUUCAAAAAUUCCUCCACAAAUUCUUCUAUGAACACCCCUAUGCUCUUUCAGGAAACCUUUAGUAAUUCACCAAAAAAACUCCUGACAUAGCUCUAAGAGUUCAUCCAAGAAUUCCUUCUGCGAUUUCCUCAGAAAUACCUCCGAAAACUGUUGAGGAAUUACGUAAAAAAUUCCUCCCGAAAUCCCUCAAGAAACUCCUUCGGGAAUCACUCCAGGAAUUCUUCCAGGAACUUUUCAGGUAUUCCUUAAUAAAUUCUUCUUGGAACUCCACCAGGAAGUCCUCCAAGAAUUCCCCAAGGAAUAUCUCCAAGAAUACAUCCAGGAAUUCCUCCAAGACAUCUGCCUAGAAUUAUUUCAAUAAUUCCUCCAGGAAUUCCUCUAAAAAAUCCUACAGGAACUUUCCCAAGAAUUUCACCAGGGGUUACUUUAAGUCUUGAACUACUGCCAAGAAUCCCUUCAGGUAUUUCGCCAGGAAUAUAUCCAAGGAUUUUUUCAACCCCAGGGAUUCCUCCGAGAAUUCUUUCAGGUUAUUCUCCAGGAACUGUUCCGAGACUUCUGCCCAGAAUUCCUCUAGAAUCUCAUCAGGAAUUUCUCCAAAAAAUUCUCCAAAAAUUCCUCCAGUAAAUUUCUCCUGGUGUUCAUCCAAAACUUCUGCUAAGAACUUCUCCAAGAAUCCGUCCAGGAAAACCUCCAGGAUAUAUUCCAGCAAGUACUCCAGUAAUUCCUUCAGGAACAUGAAUUCCUCCAAACACUCCAAAGUUUUCUCCAGGAAUUCCUCCAGGAUUUCUUUCGAGAUUUAUUCCAGGAAGUACUCCAGGAAAUCCUGCACAACUAUUCCCCUUGACUAUAUAAAAAAUCUAACUUUCAGUAUUUCACUUACACAGAAACACUUUCAGUAUUUCUACGGCGAUGAUAACGUUCUUUAAUGGGCAUUUACUUACUCAUUUAUAUCAAAAUGUGAGAAAAAUUGUAGCACUGUGGAACUCUCGUUAUUUCCAUAUGAAAGUGUGAAUGGUGCGGUUUUGAAAGACAAUUCCCACCGUCUUGAGCCAGUUUUAAAAUAUAGAACUGGAAAUAAUCACCCUGUUGCUCAAAUCUCAAAAUAUUUCACAACAUGUUCAGAUAUAGGGUGACCACUCAUCUCGGUAAAUCAAAUUCCCGGUUAUUUCUCAGCUUUUCCCGGUUUUUCUAGAACUGUUUCCCGGUUUUAAAGAAACUUAUUUAUAUGGUAAAAUCAGAACACUGACAUUUCUAUUUUCAAUUUUCUAAUUUUUCUGAAUUUGGUAAAAUGGGGAUAAAAGAAACAGUUAUUUUCACGGGCACCAUUGCAAAAGGUCCAACAAUAUAAAAAUAGGCUCCUAAAGUCCUAUCGGGAUUCUUGUUUUAAACCACAAUAUAUGGUUCAAGAGUACAUAUUUACUCAAUUUUUGACGUUUUUAUUAACCGUAGUUGAAAAUAUAUAAUUUUUAUUUUUUUAGCCUUUUGUCUCGUCCCUACACUCAAAUUAAUGCACUGAUAGAAUUUAAGUGCAGAAAGCACAUAGAUUACAAACGAGAGAGAAAAAAAUCAUUCUAUGUGCAACUGAUGAAAAUUAAAAGUUACAGUAUUAUAUUUCAUUCUUCAUGUAAUAUAUUUAGAGUGUUGCAACAUAAAAAGCAACCCUGUCAAAAUAAAAGCCAAGCACAAACAUAACAAACAAAAAAAACUAACAUGGCGCGCCAAAGGAGACACAAUCAGUCGCGGACCGAUUCGUUAGCUGUUUUUUUGAAGAAUUAUCCUGCCAUGUCAACUGUUUCUCCUCCGCACUCUUAAACGAUUCGGGAGCUGCCGGAAGCAGCUGCUACAGCGAGAUGUGCCUCUUGACCGGAUUACAGCCUGGCGGAAGCUUGAUGUGAGUUUUCCAGAGACGACGUGCUAUAUACAGACAGCUAAAGUAUGUAAUGUUAAGUAAAGUGUUAAGUUUUACAAAUAAAGUUGGUCGUAGAUGACGCAAAAUAUGGAUUUCUUUAUAUUUUUAAGCUAAUCAGCGAAUCCCACGUGGAAAUCAUUUUAUUAUUUGACAUAAUAUAAACUAUGCACCGAACAAAUGAAAACGAAUAGCGACGCACAUAAAUUCUAUCAUGAUUGAAUCGGCAAAUAUUCAAUAGCGCUGCACAUAUUUUCCAAGUGUAAAAGCAACUGGUCACAAUCUAAGUGCAGAACUUUUAAAUUUAAUAUGUUAUUUAUUCUGAGUGUAGCUUAUAACACAUACUUUGAGUGAUUUUUUUUUCACCGUGUAUGUCAGAUAGGAACAUUUUUGAAAUCCCAGUGCGAAAAAUGUCGAGCUCAGUCACACAAGGUUGACCUCAAAUGUCAAAGUAGAACUAUUUACCAUUUUACUUAUUUCGAAUUUUCUCAUUAUUCCUUUGUUUUUCAAGUUCGAGUAAAGUACAAUUCCGAUUAGAAUACCAUGCUUGAUCGUAUUAUUCAAUAUAAGCGAGAUUUCGUCUUUAAUUUUAGGACCCUAUUGCCAUGCAUCAUAAACAUCCCGAGUGAAUAAGGCUAUCAGCUUAAUGAAGCGCGUUCUAGGAGAUUAAUAAUGUAUGGCGGCUGUAAAAAAAUAGAAAUUAUCAUAUAUUUUUUUAAUUAUCAAAACAUUAACAUAAUUUUAAAAACCAUUACUGUUUAAUGUUAUGCUCUAUGCUUGAACCCUUGAACUGUUCAACCCUCAAAAUGCUAUAAAAUCAUAUGAAGGCGAUUUUUUCGUACUAGAAAUUUCUGUAUAAUGUGAAAGUAAUUUAACUUCAGUAGAAUCGCGAAUAGAACGAAAACUCAAUCAUUUCUUACUAUCAGAGGCGAUUGACCUCUGUUGUUAAAGCAUCUAUGACAGAUGUUGAGAUUGAAACACGCGACUUGCUAGAUUAUUUGUUUAUGUAUUUCAGUUUCUUCAGUGUUGCCAAUAGUAAUCAAUAAGCACAACAUAUCUCAUUUAUUUUAUCGAAAGUAGUAUACUUAGUUCUCAUACCAAGUAAUCAUCAAAACGCUUUGGAAGUCUUCUUUCACGUUGUGGUCUUUCACCCGUCAUGUUCGCAGUGCCGGAUGACACCUCCAGUUCAGCUGGUUCCGGAACAUGAGCUUCGACGUUGGAUUGCUGGAUAAAAGGCCUUACAUGUGACGUAUUCCGCUUGUACACCUGACCUUCACUUGUUUUGAGGGUGACGCUGUUUCCGAUCCUGUCGACUACUGUUGCUGGCGUUAAAAGGACUUGGAAGAUAGUUUGUUUUGUGGCAACAGAUUCUUCAUCAAAACCUGAUCCCCGACAUCGACCGGUGAUUCUCUUGCUCCGACUCUUUUAUCCCUGUUUUCCUUAGCUUGAUACUUGGCAACCCAGUCCUUGUCACGUAGUUCUCCAUCGUCCAAUGUACAGUCUUGUACGUGUGGUAUCAAAUCACGAAAACGCCGGCCAAACAUGAGAUUGGCCGGGGCCACACCUGUUGUCGAAUGAGGCGUAAUCGAGUACAUGUACAUAUAUUCUUGUAACGCCUCUUUCCAGUCAGUCCCCUUGUUCUGGCUAAUCCUCAAAACCUUCAGAAGCGACUGGUUUUGUCGUUCAGCUUCUCCGUUGGCACUCGGCCAGUAAGGUGUGGUGUGGGUCAGCUUGAUACCGCGGUCAACACAGAAGUCCUUCAAUAGUUGACUCGAAAAGUUUUUAGCGUUAUCCAAGGUAAUAACUUGCGGCAGUCCCAUUCUGGUAAAUAUUUCCUUCAGUGUGCGGAUCACGUCAUUCGAAGUUGUCUGCUUCAUAGGUUCAACGAUCAUAUACCUGCUGUACAAGUCGAUCAGUACAAACAAGUAGUAACCGUUGGGAAGUGGUCCCAAAAAAUCUCCAGCCAAAUGGACCCACGGAGCGCAAGGGAGUUCUCUGAUACGCAGCGGUUCUGGUUUGUCAAACGGUGCUACCAGCUGGCAAUCGAAACAUUCCUUACACGACUUCUGCACAUCGCCAUCGAUCCCUGGCCAUCAUACAGCUGCUCGAAGUCUUCUCUUCAUCUUCUCCUGUCCUGGGUGUCCUGUAUGUGCCAAUGCUAGCACCGUACUUCGGAGUUGUCUCGGUACCACCAGUUUGCUUUUUCUGAGCAGUACUUCAUUCGCAAAACAUAGUUCCGACUUGAAUGGUGCAUAGUUUUUGAUAGUUUCGAUCCAGUUGUCAUUGUGCAGCGCUCUCUUUACUUGCUGUGUUUCAACGUCCUCUUGAGAACACCGAGCAAUCUCGUCGAAGGUUACCGCAGAUGGUUUGUUGACUUCCACAAUGGAGCAAAGGACCCUUUCCGCUUCCUUGUCGAAAGUUCUUGCGUUCGCCACUUCGGAUAAUCUAGAGAAAGGAUCCGCAAUAUUCAGCUCACCUGGAACAUGGCGUAUAGUGUACCGAUAGGACUGCAUUCGCAAUACCCAUCUUUCUUGGCGUUGGUUUGGAAUGGAAGAA